CAAAAGUUUGAUGCUCCUUCCC
This 22-nucleotide non-coding RNA is filed under the name Arabidopsis thaliana (thale cress). Lineage: Eukaryota; Viridiplantae; Streptophyta; Magnoliopsida; Brassicales; Brassicaceae. The record is from RNAcentral.